RNAcentral lists this long non-coding RNA (201 nucleotides) under Elaeis guineensis (African oil palm). RNAcentral describes it as "long non-coding RNA (EGUI_LNC036226)". The record is from RNAcentral. Lineage: Eukaryota; Viridiplantae; Streptophyta; Magnoliopsida; Arecales; Arecaceae.
CCGCUUGUAUCAACGAUGACGUCGAUGACCUCAUUCUUGACCUGAAUGUUGAGGGUAAAGCUUCCAACACUUGUCCUUCAUGUGACCUGCCUUCUUAUCAUGAUCACAAUACAUGUUACUUUUAUCCGAGGAAGAGGAGUUACCUUCACUAUUUUUCUUACCGCGCUUUCAGUGCAACUUGGAGAGUCCCUUAACAGAUCC